GUAGCUAUAGUUUAACUAAAACAUUAGAUUGUGAAUCUAAUAAUAGAAGUUCACAACUUCUUAUCUACC
RNAcentral lists this transfer RNA (69 nucleotides) under Pithecia albicans (white-footed saki). RNAcentral's name for it is "tRNA-His". It matches the Rfam family "tRNA". From Rfam's summary of the family: Transfer RNA (tRNA) molecules are approximately 80 nucleotides in length. Lineage: Eukaryota; Metazoa; Chordata; Mammalia; Primates; Pitheciidae. The record is from RNAcentral. RNAcentral also lists the same sequence under 6 other names.